Molecule: unclassified non-coding RNA, 223 nt
Filed under: air metagenome
Description: partial contains small subunit ribosomal RNA, internal transcribed spacer 1, and 5.8S ribosomal RNA
Rfam family: Eukaryotic small subunit ribosomal RNA (bases 1-46)
Source: RNAcentral
AAGUCGUAACAAGGUCUCCGUAGGUGAACCUGCGGAGGGAUCAUUAAUGAGUGAUGGGCUUCGGCCCGACCUCCAACCCUUUGUCUUACCGACCAUGUUGCCUCGGGGGUGGCCCUGCCCUGCGCUUGGCCCCCCCGGUGGACCACUAAACUCUGCAUCACCUUUGCGUCUGAGUAUUUAUAUUAAUAAAUUAAAACUUUCAACAACGGAUCUCUUGGUUCUG